Molecule: ribosomal RNA, 253 nt
Filed under: uncultured bacterium
Lineage: Bacteria
Description: partial 16S ribosomal RNA
Rfam family: Bacterial small subunit ribosomal RNA
Source: RNAcentral
UACGGGGGGGGCAAGCGUUGUUCGGAAUUACUGGGCGUAAAGGGCUCGUAGGCGGCCAAUUAAGUCCGACGUGAAAUCCCCAGGCUUAACCUGGGAACUGCGUCGGAUACUGAUUGGCUUGAAUCAGGGAGAGGGAUGCGGAAUUCCAGGUGUAGCGGUGAAAUGCGUAGAUAUCUGGAGGGACACCGGUGGCGAAGGCGGCAUCCUGGACCGGCAUUGACGCUGAACAGCGAAAGCCGGGGGAGUAAACGGG